CAGUAGCCACGGGAAUACGAGGGGGGCAAGCGUUGUUCGGAAUUAUUGGGCGUAAAGGGUGCGUAGGCGGUUUGAUAAGUCUUAUGUGAAAGCCCCCGGCUCAACCGGGGAGGGUCAUUGGAAACUGGGAAACUUGAGUGCAGAAGAGGAGAGUGGAAUUCCACGUGUAGCGGUGAAAUGCGUAGAGAUGUGGAGGAACACCAGUGGCGAAGGCGACUCUCUGGUCUGUAACUGACGCUGAGGAGCGAAAGCGUGGGGAGCGAACAGGAUUAGAUACCCCCGUAGUCCCUGUCUCUUAUAC
Molecule: ribosomal RNA, 301 nt
Filed under: uncultured bacterium
Lineage: Bacteria
Description: partial 16S ribosomal RNA
Rfam family: Bacterial small subunit ribosomal RNA
Source: RNAcentral